Molecule: long non-coding RNA, 2068 nt
Filed under: Zea mays
Lineage: Eukaryota; Viridiplantae; Streptophyta; Magnoliopsida; Poales; Poaceae
Description: long non-coding RNA (ZMAY_LNC001215)
Source: RNAcentral
UCGUGUUUCCCAUGUCACCAGGGUUAGCUAGGCCCUUAGACACUACCAAGGUGAAUGGCUAGGGAUCCACUACGAGGCCUUUACAAAGUUUCACUAGCUUCCGAAAACCCGCUACAGUUUAUGGGAAGAGCACUUGCAAGAAUCACUCGUCUGACCGCCAUCGCAGCAAAAUCAACCCGAGAACCUCCUUGCAUGCAACUCCCCUACUGCCCUUGCCCCUUUCGGGUAAGGUAGUCUUCCACUAGCUUUCCUAAUUAGUUAGCCAAGGGGUCCCAUUCCUCCCUUGUGGUGGCACGUAUUUCUCAAGUUAAGCUCCAUGUUCCAAUUAACAAUAAUAUAAUGAUCUUGACAUGAACAUAAAUAAAUAACAAAAUAACCGCAACAUGGAUAUAAUAAAUGAUUAUCACAAAACCAUAUAAAGCAAUAGCAAAAACUACCCGUGUGAUUCAGGGGCAAACAAGGUAAUGAGAUAAACAAUCUAGGGUGACCUAUUAGGUCCCAUCAAAAUUAAACCUAUGCAUGGUAAAUGAUUAUAAAGAACAUUAUUGGGUAACAAAAGUGAAUCAAGGGCACAACUUGCCUGGCACUUGAGAUUCCAGUUACCAGAGUGAUUCUUCAGAUCCUCGUGACCGCACUGCUAGUCGUAGCAAUACAAACAGACAUGGUAUAGACAAAAUUAACAUCACACCAAACAUAAGAACAAACUGUGUAAUAAUAAUCUACGCGUUGUAACGAGAUCGUGGGUUCGAGAAUUACUAAAUUCAGAGCUACGGUUGAGACGAUAUGAUUUUCCAAAGAUUUAGGUGAUUAAACAAGAAAAGGUAUAUUAUAUGUUACUUAAUAUAAAUCAUGUGAGAAAUAUUUUAUUAAAAUUUAAUUCGAGAUAUAACUUUAACAUAGGUCCAACAAAUUAAUUAGUUAUUUGAGAACAUAUUACAUUAUAAAACUAAGGUUACUAAAGUGUAAGCAAUAUUAACACGAGUCUAACGCAACAUGAAUGGACCAACUCGGAAUCAUAGAUUUUAAGUUAUGGAUUUCUAAUGACUCUAUGUGUUUUGUACAAGAUUAAAUAGGAUAUAAAUUUUAAUGUGACUUUCAUGUGAAAACAGUGUCACUAGAUGAUAGACAAUAACAUUACAAAAUUAUAGGAAUUGGAACAGAUUAAUUUGGGCUUAAUAUGAAUUUUCUAUGAAUUACCCAAAUUUUACAAUUAUUUUUAUACUCAAAAUCAACUUCUAAAUCUAUUUUCCAGUUUUAUUUAAUUCCUGGACUGGGCCUCAAUUCCUAGAGAAUGUAGGGGUUAUUCUACAAAUAUUCUCGAGACUCAGAGCGCUGUUGCUCUGGACGGCGGGUUCAUUUUCUAAUUUCAUAAGGUCUCUUAUGCAAAAACGACAGGGCGAAGGGGUAUGGAGUAUCUAGGGCCGCCCGAUCAAGUUUGGGUGGUCAAGAUUAGGUUCCCAAUCCAACGGGUAUGCGAUCCGAGCGGUCGGAUCCCCGAUCCAUGGCCCGAUACGAACGUUAUCCGCCACCGUUGGAUCAACCAUCGAUAGUCCUGAUUCUAUGUGGUGAAGGGGUGUCUGUGAUUUCUAAUCCGGUGCGCACAAUGUGGAUCUGACGGCCAGAGGGGCUUCUUCCCCAACCCGGUCGAGACGAAGCAGUGGCCCGCAUUAGCACGAUGGCGCAGCUCCGGUGAGCAGGCACCCAAACUGUCCCAGCACACGGACCCGAGCUAGGAUGAACUACGUGCGUAGUGGACUAGGGCACAUAACAGAAAGGAAUUUUUUUACCGUGGACCUUGUAGCGUGAUGGCCCAGCCACUGAGAAGCGCGGCCAUCGACGAAGUUGGAUUCUGGUGAAGAAUUCGUCUGCCACCGAGGUUUCCACCCUUCAUCCCAAUGCUACAGUUUCACUCCACGCGUCAUGGUGAAGCUCCAUGGCCAUGGCUUGGCCUUCGAGCGAUGGCAUCGGUGGAAAACACCGUUGACAACAGAUCUCCCUCGCUCUCUGCCAUAUCUCUUGGCGACAAACUAGCUGUGAUGGAUCUCUGGAACGCCUGCUUCGGCAGUGG